This 514-nucleotide ribosomal RNA is filed under the name uncultured bacterium. RNAcentral describes it as "bacterial SSU rRNA". It matches the Rfam family "Bacterial small subunit ribosomal RNA", at positions 28 to 526 of the family's 1533-position model. The record is from RNAcentral.
GAUGAACGCUGGCGGCGUGCCUAAUACAUGCAAGUCGAGCGGAGUUGAGAAGCUUGCUUCUCAACUUAGCGGCGGACGGGUGAGUAACACGUGGGUAACCUGCCCUUAAGACUGGGAUAACAUCGAGAAAUCGGUGCUAAUACCGGAUAAUUUAUUUGAUCGCAUGAUUGAAUAAUGAAAGGUGGCGUAAGCUACCACUCAAGGAUGGACCCGCGGCGUAUUAGCUAGUUGGUGAGGUAAUGGCUCACCAAGGCAACGAUACGUAGCCGACCUGAGAGGGUGAUCGGCCACACUGGGACUGAGACACGGCCCAGACUCCUACGGGAGGCAGCAGUAGGGAAUCUUCCGCAAUGGACGAAAGUCUGACGGAGCAACGCCGCGUGAGUGAUGAAGGCUUUCGGGUCGUAAAACUCUGUUGUUAGGGAAGAACAAGUACCGUUCGAAUAGGGCGGUACCUUGACGGUACCUAACCAGAAAGCCACGGCUAACUACGUGCCAGCAGCCGCAGUAAUAC